ACACGCACACCUUACCCCUAUGAGCACCUUCGAGAGACUAAGCCGACACAUCAUCUUGAGAUUGACGAAGUCGCCACUGACGCCUUCGUUGUCGACGGGAACGUCUCCUCCCACUGAAAGCACUUCGCCGGAAUACCUGAAAUAAAUCCAGGAAAAUGCAAGCACCAACGUCAAGUCUGGGACUUGAACUCUGAUGAGCAGGGGAUACCACAGUCCUCCUAACCAUCCAACCACGGGUUGGUUUGCUU
This 248-nucleotide long non-coding RNA is filed under the name Hordeum vulgare. RNAcentral's name for it is "long non-coding RNA (HVUL_LNC002716)". The record is from RNAcentral. Lineage: Eukaryota; Viridiplantae; Streptophyta; Magnoliopsida; Poales; Poaceae.